UCAGAAUGACCAUAUGCCUUUCAUUUUGUAGCUUCGGGUGACAGCGGCUCGCUUCAAGAGCAGGUGAAGCUAUUUGGGACAAUGCUGAAGAUGUUUGCUCGCACUGGGCAAUCGGGUACAACUUGCAAACAACACCUGUGGUUGUUGAUUUAAUUCCCACUGGGUCCACAUGUGCAGAUCAGACCCUAGUGCUGCGACGUCUUGGAGAGUUUGGCGAUGUUGUGCGUAGCAUGGAAAACAAAAUGGACACUAUGCUGCAACAUUUCAGUGCCAAUGUGUCUGUUGGAGAGCUAUCCCUGCCAGGGGAUGUUACUCCCCCUAGACACCCAGGAAGAUUUGGUGUUUCUUGACAGCAUUUUGAGGGAGGAUAAAGAGCUCCAGGAACGAUUUGGGCCCUCCGGAAGAACCCGGCAACCCAGGAUGCCACUGAUGAGGCGGUCCAGGUUAACGUUACACGUUACCUGAAAGGAGCAUCAGACUGUGAAGGAGGAAAAAGCCGCC
Esox lucius (northern pike) is the source of this 501-nucleotide long non-coding RNA. RefSeq lists it as uncharacterized. The record is from RefSeq and is a predicted model, not a curated record. The transcript has 3 exons. Lineage: Eukaryota; Metazoa; Chordata; Actinopteri; Esociformes; Esocidae.